Molecule: long non-coding RNA, 353 nt
Organism: Oncorhynchus keta (chum salmon)
Lineage: Eukaryota; Metazoa; Chordata; Actinopteri; Salmoniformes; Salmonidae
Exons: 3
Source: RefSeq, a predicted model, not a curated record
ACUACCUCCAUUACAUGACUCAUGUUGAACAGCAUGAAGAGGUACUGUACUGUAGGACUACUGAUGACUACCUCCAUUACAUGACUCCUGUUGAACAGCAUGAAGAGGUACUGUACUGUAGGACUACUGAUGACUACCUCCAUUACAUGACUCCUGUUGAACAGCAUGAAGAGGUACUGUACUGUAGGACUACUGAUGACUACCUCCAUUACAUGACUCCUGUUGAACAGCAUGAAGAGGUACUGUACUGUAGGACUACUGAUGACUACCUCCAUUACAUGACUCAUGUUGACCAGCAGGAAGAGGUACUGUACUGUAGGACUACUGAUGACUACCUCAUUACAUGACUCCUG